This 253-nucleotide ribosomal RNA is filed under the name uncultured bacterium. Its description in RNAcentral is "partial 16S ribosomal RNA". It matches the Rfam family "Bacterial small subunit ribosomal RNA", at positions 524 to 776 of the family's 1533-position model. The record is from RNAcentral.
UACGUAGGUGGCAAGCGUUAUCCGGAUUUAUUGGGUGUAAAGGGCGUGUAGGCGGGAGCGCAAGUCAGAUGUGAAAACUCAGGGCUCAACCCUGAGCCUGCAUUUGAAACUGUGUUUCUUGAGUGCUGGAAAGGCAAUCGGAAUUCCGUGUGUAGCGGUGAAAUGCGUAGAUAUACGGAGGAACACCAGUGGCGAAGGCGGAUUGCUGGACAGUAACUGACGCUGAGGCGCGAAAGCGUGGGGAGCAAACAGG